GCGCAUUUACGUUGUAGAUGUCUAUGGGCUCCAGUAACCACUUAACACCAGGUGGACUGUGAGAUCGUCCAUCCACCUAAGCAAUAAAAAAAAUUAGCAAGAGCAGUGCUUCGCUGAAUCUACUACCGUAUCGGAAUCUGCCCCACUGAGAAGAUCCGGCGAGAAACUCAGUGGGUAACUAGUAGUGCCUUAAAUAUUUAUUAUAAUUUACUUUAUUUUAUUUAAGCGCCGUUCUCGACAUAUAUCUUUAAAAUAUAUUACAAUCUGAAAAACGAUCAAAAAAAUAUUCUUAUAAUUUUUAAUGAGACAGGCAUUCAUGUAUAAGGAAAUCUGUUCUCAAUAGCAUUCGUAUAUUUUGUGCCAGCGGUAAGGCAUAGGUACGUGCUAUCAUUGUGCGGUUUAAAUUUUGCGACUUAAUAAAUAUUAAUGAUUCAUACAUUAUUUUAGGACUCGCGAUAACCGACAAAAUGCAGCGUUUAUAAAUAUUUCUCUGGUUUCAAUGUUAUGUGUAUUUAAGGCCGGAAUCUAAAUUCUUUAACUGUAACUGCAUUUGGAAAUUGAAAUUAAGCAAAGUUUAAUUAAAGCAGCGUGGGCAGGCCUCCUACGCGAUGGACCAACAAACUGCUAAAGAUCAUACAUCACUACAUAGUAUAAAACAAAGUCGCUUUCUCUGUCCCUAUAUCCCUAUGUAUGCUUAAAUCAUUAAAACUACGCAACGGAUUUUGAUGCGGUUUUUUUAAUAGAUAGAGUGAUUAAAGAGGAAGGUUGAUAUGUAUAGUAACAUCCAUUAAAUAGUGGAGAAAUCAAUCAUAAAUUACAGUUUUCGAAGCGAAGCCAUGGCGGGUCGCUAGUUAUACAUAGUUUAAUAGUACAAAGUAUAGUAGUACAAUUGAAACUUCGAUCUCAUAUGUCAAGGUGUGUCCCGACAAUCAAAUUUUGAUCUUUAUGAGGUUUGGUUACAGCCUGUCAAAUGGGCUGUGGGGUCGUUUGUACACCUAGAACACUGCUAUAAUAAGUUAAUAGUAAAAAAUUUCGAAUGAAACUAAUAUGGUGGAGUUAAAAUGAGGAAGUCUGACGAUAAUACUUACUGAAAAAAAAAAAAAAAAAAGUAGGUAUCUGAGUUCGAGAAUGACCACCAUAAAGCAUAAUAAAUACAAUAAAUGUAAUAGCAAAUUAUAAAUUACAUUUAUUCUAUAUUAUUAUUUACCUUAAACAGAUAUUAUCUAUAUUGCGUAAUUAUAAAAAAUACCUACAUUUGCGUAAUUACUGAUGCACCGCUAUACUGCUUCUUUUUAUCUGCAGCUGUACACCACUUAACACAAUUUGCAAGCUCAUUUGCGCAUGUAGACAAAAAGGCGAUAAUAUAGCUGUCCGUGGACCGCGCACCGUACCAACGAAAGAGCUCAACAUCAAGGAGAGACUAUCAUCAACAGUCCAAAUACGAAUCUUCAAGUUCUUCGGGCACAUCGCUCGUAAUGAGGACUCCAUUGAGCGAUUGGUAGUACGGGAAAGUCGAGGGCAAAAGAUCUCGCGGACGAUCUCAUAAAAUCUGUGCCUCACUCCAACAUAAAUGAUUGCUCUCAUUCUGCGAGACACUGUGCCACAGGGCGUCGCAUCGCGAGAGCAUCGGUAUCGCAGGAUUCGACUGAUGCAUGACCACGACCACUUUGUCAAGAGUGUACGACUAGGAAGAAGAAUAUUUUAAUAUCUGAAGAGUGUUUUAUGAUAAAAAAUAAA
Bombyx mori (domestic silkworm) is the source of this 1737-nucleotide long non-coding RNA. RefSeq lists it as uncharacterized. NCBI's taxonomy places the organism in Eukaryota, Metazoa, Arthropoda, Insecta, Lepidoptera, Bombycidae. The record is from RefSeq and is a predicted model, not a curated record. The transcript is spliced from 2 exons.